CAACGGCUCAACAGAGAAAGCGCGCAGAUCCCUGGGAUCAAAGUGAGACAUGAAUGCCGCACUGAGAGAGAGAGAGCGAGGAUGAGGGAGGAAGAAAAGCAAGGGUGUGAGAAAAAUUACAAACUGGAAAAAAGGACAUUUUUUUGGUGAAGUGGUGGCUGAGGAAGCAGCCAAUCUCUCCGCGAGUCAGAACCCUACCAGAGUAUGGAUCUUUAUAUCCUGGCAUCAUCUCUAUACCUAAAGCCUGAAGCUGAGAUGUAUUCAGUGACCUGAGAGAGAGUACAAAAGCAUCAACCAGCGUAGCCUCAAUACCCAGCACCGCCAUAGUGUUUAACAUCCGUUCCCUCCGGUCCAACCUCCGCUUCAGAUUAAUCAGAAAGAUCUGAGGGGAAAAGAGAGAACGAGAGAGUCUGAGGAAUGAAGCAGAACAAAAUAAGAAAAUGUCACUUCAAAGAAGCUUAAAUCAGCUGAAGGUUCUCUGCAGGGUAACUGUCAUGAGUGUCCAGUCAAGCAAGACAUUCCAGAGAUUCUGUUC
Molecule: long non-coding RNA, 535 nt
Organism: Ctenopharyngodon idella (grass carp)
Lineage: Eukaryota; Metazoa; Chordata; Actinopteri; Cypriniformes; Xenocyprididae
Exons: 3
Source: RefSeq, a predicted model, not a curated record